Molecule: long non-coding RNA, 317 nt
Organism: Portunus trituberculatus (swimming crab)
Lineage: Eukaryota; Metazoa; Arthropoda; Malacostraca; Decapoda; Portunidae
Exons: 3
Source: RefSeq, a predicted model, not a curated record
CCCUUAAUAACCCUACAGAGAAGUGCCUCACCAACCAUGCAAGUGUCUCGCUCGGUGUCGCUGCCGCCACUGGUCCAAGUCAUGUGAUCAGGUGCAAGUUGUCUGAGCACUGGUUUCUGAUUGGAAGGUUAAGGAGGUGGCCACUCUGAGUUUAAGGCUGGUGCUGCUCUCCAGGACCUUACUAUGCAGGUGUUGAGUCACCAAAGCUGUUCUGGAUGAAUGAAGAGACUGUGACACUGCUGCUGGGGAUGCAUUCUUGACGACAUUGCAGGUCACCACUACACAGAGGUCAAAAAAAUAUUGGAAGAAGCGGCAGA